UGCCAGACUCCUACGGGAGGCAGCAGUGGGGAAUAUUGGGCAAUGGGCGCAAGCCUGACCCAGCAACGCCGCGUGAAGGAAGAAGGCUUUCGGGUUGUAAACUUCUUUUAAGAGGGAAGAGUAGAAGACGGUACCUCUUGAAUAAGCACCGGCUAACUCCGUGCCAGCAGCCGCGGUAAUACGGAGGGUGCGAGCGUUAAUCGGAAUUACUGGGCGUAAAGCGCUCGUAGGCGGUAUGUCAAGUCAAGGGUGAAAUCCCCGCGCUCAACGUGGGAACUGCCUUUGAAACUGGCAAACUGGAGUGUGUGAGAGGAUAGUGGAAUUCCAGGUGUAGGAGUGAAAUCCGUAGAUAUCUGGAGGAACAUCAGUGGCGAAGGCGACGAUCUGGCACAUAACUGACGCUGAGGAGCGA
This 412-nucleotide ribosomal RNA is filed under the name uncultured bacterium. Its description in RNAcentral is "bacterial SSU rRNA". It matches the Rfam family "Bacterial small subunit ribosomal RNA", at positions 329 to 756 of the family's 1533-position model. The record is from RNAcentral.